This is a long non-coding RNA of Tachyglossus aculeatus (Australian echidna), 447 nucleotides long. RefSeq lists it as uncharacterized. Lineage: Eukaryota; Metazoa; Chordata; Mammalia; Monotremata; Tachyglossidae. The transcript has 3 exons. The record is from RefSeq and is a predicted model, not a curated record.
AGGCUGAAUUCCAAACCUCCAGUUGGCUCGGCUUCUCCCAGACUAUCGGAGGAAUGAAGGCUGCAGUGAGAGAAGACCUUCGCUCCGGAUCAUGCGGCAAGAGAUGGACCAAGAAACCGGCAGUGCCCCCUCCAGCCGAGGGUCCAGGAGAUGAGGAGAAGCACCAGAGCAGCAAGGUGGAGGCUUGACUGUCCCGACCACCCCGAUACCCACCAAAGCCGAACCUGAACCGAGCCGGCCAGGGAGAUCAGGGCGGCCGCCGUGACUAGCAGAAUGAUCCCUCCUGGAGGGACUCUGUACCGAGAGCUGCACCAGCGAGGGAGAGGACGAGGGAGAAGUGAUCGGGGGUCAAGCCGACAAGUGGAGACCGGGACGCCCUGAGAGAAGAUGGGAGUUGACCUGACCAUCGGGAAAAAAUAAGUAUCUAAUCGUAGACUGACCAAAAAA